CGGGUGAGUAACGCGUGGGUAACCUGCCUUAUACAGGGGAGUAACAGUUGGAAACGGCUGCUAAUACCGCAUAAGCGCACGGCAUCGCAUGAUGCAGUGUGAAAAACUCCGGUGGUAUAGGAUGGACCCGCGUUGGAUUAGCUAGUUGGUGAGGUAACGGCCCACCAAGGCGACGAUCCAUAGCCGACCUGAGAGGGUGACCGGCCACAUUGGGACUGAGACACGGCCCAA
RNAcentral lists this ribosomal RNA (231 nucleotides) under uncultured bacterium. RNAcentral describes it as "partial 16S ribosomal RNA". It matches the Rfam family "Bacterial small subunit ribosomal RNA", at positions 103 to 334 of the family's 1533-position model. The record is from RNAcentral.